UCUGGGUUUAUCCCAGCGGUCCCGUUAGAGAAAUAUAACUAACGGCGGGGGUUGCGCUCGUUGCGGGACUUAACCCAACACCUCACGACACGAGCUGACGACAGCCAUGCAGCACCUGUGCUGGAGCUCCGAAGAGGGGCCGAUCUUUCCACCGGCUUUCCCCAGCAUGUCAAGCCUAUGUAAGGUUCUGCGCGUUGCGUCGAAUUAAACCACAUGCUCCACCGCUUGUGCGGGCCCCCGUCAAUUCCUUUGAGUUUCAAUCUUGCGAUCGUAUUCCCCAGGUGGAUUACUUAAUGCUUUCGCUUAGACGCUGACAGUGUAUCGCCAACAUCGAGUAAUCAUCGUUUAGGGCGUGGACUAC
Molecule: unclassified non-coding RNA, 361 nt
Filed under: uncultured bacterium
Lineage: Bacteria
Description: contains 16S-23S intergenic spacer region
Source: RNAcentral